GACGAACGCUGGCGGCGCGCUUAACACAUGCAAGUCGAACGGAAAGGCCUGCUUUCCCUUGUGGAUUGCGGGUACUCGAGUGGCGAACGGGUGAGUAACACGUGAGUGAUCUGCCCCCAACUUGGGUAUAAGCCUGGGAAACUGGGUCUAAUUCCCGAUAGGACUGCAGGGUGGUGCCUGUGGUGGAAAACGAUUUUCUAGUGGUUGGGGAUGAGCUCGCGGCCUAUCAGCUUGUUGGUGGGGUAAUGGCCUACCAAGGCGGCGACGGGUAGCCGGCCUGGGUGGGUGGACGGCCACAGUGGGACUGAGAUACGGCCCAGACUCCUACGGGAGGCAGCAGUGGGGAAUAUUGCACAAUGGGCGGAAGCCUGAUGCAGCGACGCCGCGUGGGGGAUGACGGCCUUCGGGUUGUAAACUCCUUUCGACCGCGAGGAAGCCACCUGGUUGGAAGGGUGGCGACGGUAGUGGUAGAAGAAGCACCGGCUAACUACGUG
Molecule: ribosomal RNA, 494 nt
Filed under: uncultured bacterium
Lineage: Bacteria
Description: partial 16S ribosomal RNA
Rfam family: Bacterial small subunit ribosomal RNA
Source: RNAcentral